GAAGUGGGCGGGGUGAUCGCUCGCCGCGGCGAAUGUCUCUCGGGGCAUCGGUCACGGCGGGAGGAAAGUCCGGGCUUCGCAGGGCAGGAUGGUCGAUAACGUCGACCGGCCGUGAGGCUAGGGAAAGUGCAACAGAAAGCAAACCGCCGAACGGCCACGACGUCCGCGUCGUGGUGCGUGGUAAGGGUGAAACGGUACGGUAAGAGCGUACCAGCGGCCGAGGUGACUCGGUCGGCUUGGUAAACCCCAUCCGAAGCUAGACCAAACAGGGUGCAUGGCGAACGAUUGCCGCGAGGGAAUCGGUCGUCGCGAAGCGGCCCGCUUCGCUAUCGACACCCGGGUAGGUCGCUCGAGGCGGCGGGCAACCGUCGUCCCAGAUAAAUGGUCACCAUCGCCGCUUUCGGCGGCGGCACAGAACCCGGCUUACAAGCCCACUUCCGAU
Molecule: RNase P RNA, 442 nt
Filed under: Planctomycetaceae bacterium
Lineage: Bacteria; Pseudomonadati; Planctomycetota; Planctomycetia; Planctomycetales; Planctomycetaceae
Description: RNase P RNA component class A
Rfam family: Bacterial RNase P class A
About the family: Ribonuclease P (RNase P) is a ubiquitous endoribonuclease, found in archaea, bacteria and eukarya as well as chloroplasts and mitochondria. Its best characterised activity is the generation of mature 5'-ends of tRNAs by cleaving the 5'-leader elements of precursor-tRNAs.
Source: RNAcentral